This 495-nucleotide ribosomal RNA is filed under the name uncultured bacterium. Its description in RNAcentral is "partial 16S ribosomal RNA". It matches the Rfam family "Bacterial small subunit ribosomal RNA", at positions 28 to 507 of the family's 1533-position model. The record is from RNAcentral.
GAUGAACGCUGGCGGCGUGCCUAAUACAUGCAAGUAGAACGCUGAAGGAGGAGCUUGCUCUUCUGGAUGAGUUGCGAACGGGUGAGUAACGCGUAGGUAACCUGCCUGGUAGCGGGGGAUAACUAUUGGAAACGAUAGCUAAUACCGCAUGACAACAGUUAUUGCAUGAUAACUGUUUAAAAGGAGCAACUGCUCCACUACCAGAUGGACCUGCGUUGUAUUAGCUAGUUGGUGAGGUAACGGCUCACCAAGGCGACGAUACAUAGCCGACCUGAGAGGGUGAUCGGCCACACUGGGACUGAGACACGGCCCAGACUCCUACGGGAGGCAGCAGUAGGGAAUCUUCGGCAAUGGACGGAAGUCUGACCGAGCAACGCCGCGUGAGUGAAGAAGGUUUUCGGAUCGUAAAGCUCUGUUGUAAGAGAAGAACGAGUGUGAGAGUGGAAAGUUCACACUGUGACGGUAUCUUACCAGAAAGGGACGGCUAACUACGUG